Molecule: long non-coding RNA, 325 nt
Filed under: Oryza sativa Indica Group (long-grained rice)
Lineage: Eukaryota; Viridiplantae; Streptophyta; Magnoliopsida; Poales; Poaceae
Also listed under: 2 other names
Description: lncRNA OsMH63_12G010920
Source: RNAcentral
ACUCUUGCCAAGAGGAGGUACCUUGGUAGCGCCCUCAGGAGGGUUACGGUGUUCAAAGGUGUAAUUGUUGCCGUCCCAGUGCAACAUUGGGCGAGGCUUUUGCCUAGAACCCCCUACAACAUUGACCGUGGUUCGUCACCCAUCAUCUCAGUUUCCACCAUCCAAACCCCGAGCAACUGUCUGCCCAAGCCAGGCGGUGAAUCCGCCACUGAUCAUAGGGCCUCCGCCACAUGGGACCAACAACCCUCCGCAAGCCAAUUUCCAGUCCUACUAUCAGCAAGACCGCUGUUGUGCACUGCUAUUAGCACCCUUUAGCGUGCUGCGG